GCACCGGUGGUGUAUGGUACACACAGUCACUUUGUAUGUUAUGUUCGUUUAGUGAAUAGUGAUUGAGUCCGGGGUUCGAUUCCCUGCUGGUGCA
Molecule: non-coding RNA, 94 nt
Organism: Mycena galericulata
Lineage: Eukaryota; Fungi; Basidiomycota; Agaricomycetes; Agaricales; Mycenaceae
Source: the annotation of a GenBank genome assembly